CUUGUGUGUUGGGCAUACUGUACCUAUGAAUGUAUGUCCUAAUGUGUUGUUUGCCCGUGUCCCUGCUUGCGAUAGUUUGCAGAUCCUCUUCAGAGUACUUCAGAUGACAAGGGACCCCUCUUAAAAACACAAGCCUGAACUCUUCAGUUUAAGAGCCCUGCUGAAUAUCCACAGGAAGUGCCACCCAUUCUUUGAAGAUGCUCAGGUUUUUGGUGAACAUUCAGUGUAAUGCUGACAUAGAUGAUCUCGACCCCUGGCUGCUGUGAAAGUUCGGGAUGCAGAGGAGGGAUGGAGAGAUGUAUACCUACUAAAGAAUCUGGGCAGAGACAAUAGAACAGCACACAGGCACUUGGGGAACAGAAGGGUGACACAGAGGGCAGCUCUCACCACAACAACUCUCCUCCUUUGAAAACAAAACCCCAACCUGUUACUGCUUCAGCCUGCCUGUGGGAGGGGAUGCUCGUAAUAAAGCUGCCAGCCCCCUCGUUAGACAUCACGAGGUUGGAGGGAAGAUUAGCAGGAUUAAGACUAGCUCACAUAUGCUGCUCUUCACUAUUGGCAUUCAACACAACAUAAGCCCAACUGCCACCCAGACGGAGGGAGAAAGAGAGAUGUAGAGGGUGAGAGUGAAAGUUUUCUUCUGAUAUUAAAGCAAUGCUACACUGAAUCAAAACUGUUUGGAAUAAUUGUGGAAGAAAAAAGGCU
Long non-coding RNA from Rhinichthys klamathensis goyatoka, 705 nucleotides. RefSeq lists it as uncharacterized. Lineage: Eukaryota; Metazoa; Chordata; Actinopteri; Cypriniformes; Leuciscidae. The record is from RefSeq and is a predicted model, not a curated record. The transcript has 3 exons.